Molecule: ribosomal RNA, 474 nt
Filed under: uncultured bacterium
Lineage: Bacteria
Description: bacterial SSU rRNA
Rfam family: Bacterial small subunit ribosomal RNA
Source: RNAcentral
GACGAACGCUGGCGGCGCGCCUAACACAUGCAAGUCGAACGGACGAGAGGGAGCUUGCUCCUUCAAGUUAGUGGCGGACGGGUGAGUAACACGUGAGCAACCUGCCUUUCAGAGGGGGACAACAGUUGGAAACGACUGCUAAUACCGCAUAACGUUGCGGGGAGGCAUCUUCCUGCAACCAAAGAUUUAUCGCUGAAAGAUGGGCUCGCGUCUGAUUAGAUAGUUGGUGGGUAACGGCCUACCAAGUCGACGAUCAGUAGCCGGACUGAGAGGUUGAACGGCCACAUUGGGACUGAGACACGGCCCAGACUCCUACGGGAGGCAGCAGUGGGGAAUAUUGCACAAUGGGGGAAACCCUGAUGCAGCAACGCCGCGUGAAGGAUGAAGGUUUUCGGAUCGUAAACUUCUAUCAACAGGGAAGAAAAAUGACGUACCUGAAUAAGAAGACCCCGGCUAACUACGUGCCAGCAGCCG